CCUACGGGUGGCAGCAGUGGGGAAUAUUGCGCAAUGGGCGAAAGCCUGACGCAGCGACGCCGCGUGAGGGAUGAAGGUCUUCGGAUCGUAACCCUCUGUCAGCAGGGAAGAACGGUCACUGUGCUAAUCAGCAGUGAAUUGACGGUACCUGCAAAGGAAGCACCGGCUACCUCCGUGCCAGCAGCCGCGGUAAUACGGAGGGGGCGAGCGUUCAUCGGACUUACUGGGCGUAAGGGGCGCGUCGGGGGUAUGUCAAGUCAAGGGGGAAAUCCCCGCGCGCAAGGUGGGGACUGCCUUUGAAACGGGCAAACGGGAGUGUGUGAGAGGAUAGUGG
This 334-nucleotide ribosomal RNA is filed under the name uncultured bacterium. Its description in RNAcentral is "partial 16S ribosomal RNA". It matches the Rfam family "Bacterial small subunit ribosomal RNA", at positions 338 to 664 of the family's 1533-position model. The record is from RNAcentral.